GAUACUGAGUGAAAACGAGCAUUUCACCCCCCCCUUUAAUCAUAACACAGACUGUUUGCUUACUCAAUCCAGAUGAAUAUUGAAAAAUAUUUUAAACGAUUUAAAAAGGCUCGUCCAGAGGAGAAAAUACAGUCUGGACCAGAGGUAAUAGCAAAGCAAAGAAACACAUGUUGAAGAUUAUUAUUCUGACCUUUGUGAUAAGCUAUUCGGUUAAUUUAUUUUGAAUAUUUCCAGGCUUCAUUCAGUGCUGCUGAAGCAGCAAGAGAGGCGCAGGGAACGUUAGCUGUAGAGAUGUAGAAGAGGAGGACUGCAGCCAACAUGCUGCUGCUGUGGGUGAGCCAGGUGGGGCUGAAGCAACAGGUGAGGUUAACAGCAAACACAGGGAGGUGAAGAAGCAGGGCAGGUCAGAAAAGCAGAUUUUUCAGGAAGAGCAGUCCCAUUUCUAUUUGUCUGUGACUUGGAGACAGGACAGCAAGCACAAGCAGCAAGCACAAAGACACUGGAUUUGAUCCAGAGUGGCUAAUGAUGCCUCAAUUUAAGAGUUGGCUGUACCUCACACAGCAAAACUGCAUAAUUUGUGUAAUCAUGAAACAAUAAUGAAAAUAUUUUAAUUUCAUUAUUUUAUUAAUUGUAAUUCUUUGACUGCUGUGUUUGUUUUUUUAGGAAUGUUUUGUCGACUAUGCAGACAACACAAGCCUGUACCUAAGAUAGGCCGCGCAAAUAGGGCUUUUGUUGAGGUUGGAGCCGUUAUAUACAGAAAAGACUACUUGGAACGCCACAUCACUAUGGAGCACCACCAGGACAGUAUCAGAUGCCAGGCAUCUCUUGCCUCUGGCAUCUCAGUCAUAAACUCGUUUGAGCCCACUAUUGUUUUGGAGCAUGAGGCAGUCAUUGGUGGGUUCAAGUGCCUUUACUGGCUCGUAAAAAAUGAACUAGCCCACCACACAAAUUAUCCAAAACUUUUGAGCCUUGGUGAGCUUCUAGGGUGCGACUACUUCAGGAAAUUAAAGAUUGACAGGAGGAAUAACUAUAGAUCUCAUCAUAUUAUUGACGACAUGCUUGAGGUCUUAGCAGAGGUCAUAGAGGAGCCAAUUCUUACUAAAAUUAAACCAUCACAGGGAAUUAGCCUGGAAGUUGAUGAGACUACAGAUGUGUCAGUCGGCAGGCAACUUGACUUGCAUGUCCGAUCCAUAGAUAAAGAGGGACUAGUGUUUAAUCACUUCCUGGAUUUGGUCCAUAUUGCUGAUGGCAAAGCAGACACUAUUGUCGCAACUGUCAAGAAUAUUAUCUUGAAGAAAGGCCUCCCAACCGAAAAACUGUAUGGACUCGGGACUGACGGGGGUUGUCAGUGAUUUGAAAACAAAGGAAGUGAAGGACAAAUGCUGGUUCUCUCAGCAUAAAGCCAUCGAGACCCUACAGAGGAACCUGAGCGCCACCUCUGCCAAUGCUACAAGGACUGCAGAGGUGAGAAGAUGUCCAGGGGCAAUGGGCCUUUACACAUUCUGUGCUACAUAUAGAUUUGUGGUAGCAGUUUACCUCCAAGCUGAUGUUUACCACACCUUGCAUGCCUGUCCAAAGUCUUUCAAAAAGCACAUGUCAACUUUCUACCUAUCAAGGAGCAGACUCUCAGGAGCAUUAGAGAGGCUGGACUGACUCCACUGCCUGGAUCAUUCCUGCCUUCAUCAGGACCUCGAUGAUCCACAAGGACUUGGAGCCUUCAAUAUACAGCAUGAGGAGGAGAGGAAAAGGAGAGGGCAAGAUAUCCACGAAGUGUCGAGGGAGGAGCUGUGGGCCAGAUUCCAGCGAGAUGCCUUAAAACUAAUGAAUUUUCCUUUUCUUCUUCUAAAUGGUCCUCUAUGGCCUGGCCCUUAAAGGAUUAAUUCAUCUCAAAAUAAAAAAACAAAAUUCCUAAACAUUUACUCACCCCAAUGCCACUCAGAUAUGAGUGGAAGAGAAAUUAUGUUUUUGUAGGAAAACAUUUCUGGAUGACCCUUUGAAACUGCAUCGAUUUAGACUUCUACAAUUUGUUUGCCAUUUAAGCCCAUUCUGUGGAGAAACAUCCAGAAAUGCUUUCCUAAAAAGACGUAAUUUCUCUUCCACUGAGGAAAGAAAGACAUGGAUAUCUGGAUGGCAUUGGGGUGAGUAAAUGUUUAGGACAUUUUAAUUUUGAGGUCCUUUAAUGACUGUAGUUAAGGUGGGUGUAGGCUCUUCCUAAAAAUAUGCUGAUGGUCUGUUCAUUGUAGGUCAUCCACCCUUACAUCACUGGCCUGGAAACACACCUGGACAGACGGUUCCAUGAUCUGGACAUUUUUGGGGCCUUCUGUGUUUUGGGACCGCUUGGUAGAGCUACUUCGGAAGAUGAAAUAAUAAAGGUCUCUCAGCUGCAGACUCUUGACAGGAAAUUUUGCCCUGAACAGGAAAAUGAGGUAGUGCAGGAGUGGUUCUAUUUCAAGGUGGGUGUAUCAAAAUGAUUACUAAAUUAAACUAUGAUUCACAACACCAACACAACACAGUAAUGCCAUGAUGGUAAGCCAAAUGUUGUUUCAAGAACAAAGACCAGAAGGAGAUCCUAAGACUGCUGGUGAGUGAGAUUGAUGAGUGGGCCAACCUCUACCCCUGCCUGAACCUUCUUGUAGGCAUAGUUUCCAGUGUAAACAUGUGAACACAAUUUUUCAACAAUAAAUAGGGCAAGAACUUAAAUUUGACAAGCACAACAAAUAAUUAAUCAUUUUUAUUUAUUUUAGUGCAUUUUGUGGUAAUUUUUUUUUUUUUUGCUCUGUCCUUAGGUGAAAACAGACCUCAGAAAUAAGUUGCAAGGAGAACACCUGGCUGCUUGUUUGAGGAUCUCAAUCAAUGGACCCUGUCCUGAGGCAUUCCCUUAUGAUAGGGCAUUGGUGUAUUUUUUUUCAAAAAGCCGCCAAAAAUUAAAUGUCCAAACAAAGGGUGCAAGAUUUGUAGCUAGUCUGUGGAGCAGUCAGCGUAGGAAUGCCUGAUAAGUUAUCUGAUUCUGUUUUGUAAAUUAAAUAUGUGCGCGUCAAUAAAAAUGACAUGAAAUAUUUAACCCUUUUUUUGUUGUCGUCACGACAUGAGGGUGAGUCAUAAAUGACAUAUGACUCACCCUCAUGAUAGUGCAGAAAGAAGGAGCAAUUAGCAGCUAUUAGGGGACCGAGACUAGAAUGGAAAGGAAAUUAUAGUAUGGGAAGAAAAGGAAAAAAACACAAAGAGGAAGGAAAAAGGUAAACACAAAGGGACACAAGGACACUGAAUGAGGUUAAGAAAACCUCCACUCUACCCACUUUUGUGAAUUCGCAAACCAUGGUGAGGAUUAUAUUUGUUACCUCAUGUCGACCGUGGCAGGAGUCCUUGCCAAUCUAUUUUGAGAUCCAACCAUGGGAAGGUCAAUCUUUUCCAUUGUAGUAGCGGUGGUUUAGGUUUUAGGUAGUCGGUGGUUUAGGUUUGCCGGUUUUAACUGGCAACACACAAGGUAUCCUUUUACAUAUUCUGCCAUGUCUUGCUGCAUGCCAGGCCAGAACGCCACUUGCUUGAGCAUUUCUUAGGUGGCCUUGGCACCAUGGUGUCCAGCACAUGGUGCAUCAUGGGCGUGUGUCAGCAUCAUUCCCCUUUGGCCCUGAGGAACUACGAGCUUUGGUGCAGUUAGUGGCUCAGGGAAGAUGCAGUAUGUGCUUGAUUGAGUGAAGUUGGCGGAGGUCAACUGACUUAUCUAGGUCAGGUGAGUGGCAAUGGUUGGUAGCACUGGAGCUGAAGCAUGGAGAGUGAGGAGAUCAUCAACGGCAAAUUGAAGUGAGAGUUAAAUGUGGGAGAAGGUGGGGGUUUGCGCACCAGUGGAGUGCUGGCAGCUAGUCAUGGCUGCCACUGAUGGGGUGGGUGGGAAUGCAGGAAAUGCCCAGGACUCUCUGUGUAAUCACCUGCUUUGGCGAGGGCAUCAGUUUGGUCAUUGAGGUCUUUGUCUUGUACUGGUUGAUGUGAGUGACCGGUGUGGGGAAGAGUUCCUAAUGUUUGAAAGGCUUGUUGUUAACUGUCUUGAAUUCAUUGAGUCUUUUUCCAUCCAGCUAGAUGGCACGUAGACCUUAGGUGGACAUAGUUGGAGUUGGUACAGAUGAGGAGUUCUUUUAUGUUGUGGGAUGUAGCAAGUUGUAGGGUGAUGAGAAUGGCUGCUAUUUCUGCAUAUCGCGAUGAGUGAGAGCCCCAAUUUCUAAACUAAAUCCCCAAUUUUUUUUCAUAAAAAAAUCUGAUUUAUGAUUUGAAUUGAUUUUAAAAUCAAUGUACAAAUGACAAAACAAGUUUUAAUAUAGUUCUUUAUCAUUC
Molecule: RNA transcript, 4326 nt
Organism: Carassius auratus (goldfish)
Lineage: Eukaryota; Metazoa; Chordata; Actinopteri; Cypriniformes; Cyprinidae
Exons: 6
Source: RefSeq, a predicted model, not a curated record